This 492-nucleotide ribosomal RNA is filed under the name uncultured bacterium. RNAcentral describes it as "partial 16S ribosomal RNA". It matches the Rfam family "Bacterial small subunit ribosomal RNA", at positions 29 to 507 of the family's 1533-position model. The record is from RNAcentral.
AGUGAACGCUGGCGGUAGGCCUAACACAUGCAAGUCGAACGGCAGCACAGUAAGAGCUUGCUCUUACGGGUGGCGAGUGGCGGACGGGUGAGGAAUACAUCGGAAUCUACUUUUUCGUGGGGGAUAACGUAGGGAAACUUACGCUAAUACCGCAUACGACCUACGGGUGAAAGCAGGGGAUCUUCGGACCUUGCGCGAUUGAAUGAGCCGAUGUCGGAUUAACUAGUUGGCGGGGUAAAGGCCCACCAAGGCGACGAUCCGUAGCUGGUCUGAGAGGAUGAUCAGCCACACUGGAACUGAGACACGGUCCAGACUCCUACGGGAGGCAGCAGUGGGGAAUAUUGGACAAUGGGCGCAAGCCUGAUCCAGCCAUACCGCGUGGGUGAAGAAGGCCUUCGGGUUGUAAAGCCCUUUUGGUGGGAAAGAAAAGCAGCAGGUUAAUACCCCGCUGUUCUGACGGUACCCAAAGAAUAAGCACCGGCUAACUUCGUG